UACGUAGGGUGCGAGCGUUGUCCGGAAUUAUUGGGCGUAAAGAGCUCGUAGGCGGCCUGUUACGUCUGCUGUGAAAUCCCGGGGCUUAACCCCGGGCGUGCAGUGGAUACGGGCAGGCUGGAGGCGGGCAGGGGAGAACGGAAUUCCCGGUGUAGCGGUGAAAUUCGUAGAUAUUGGGAAGAACACCGGUGGCGAAGGCGGCGACCUGGGCCUUUUACUGACGCUGAGGCGCGAAAGCGUGGGGAGCAAACAGG
This 254-nucleotide ribosomal RNA is filed under the name uncultured bacterium. RNAcentral's name for it is "partial 16S ribosomal RNA". It matches the Rfam family "Bacterial small subunit ribosomal RNA", at positions 524 to 776 of the family's 1533-position model. The record is from RNAcentral.